CCUACGGGUGACAGCAGUGAGGAAUAUUGGUCAAUGGGAGAGAGACUGAACCAGCCAAGCCGCGUGAGGGAAGACGGCCCUAUGGGUUGUAAACCUCUUUUGUCGGAGAACAAAACCCGGGACGUGUCCCCGACUGCGUGUAUCCGAAGAAAAAGCAUCGGCUAACUCCGUGCCAGCAGCCGCGGUAAUACGGAGGAUGCGAGCGUUAUCCGGAUUUAUUGGGUUUAAAGGGUGCGUAGGCGGUCCGUUAAGUCAGCGGUAAAAUUGCGGGGCUCAACCCCGUCGCGCCGUUGAAACUGGCAGUCUUGAGUUGGCGAGAAGUACGCGGAAUGCGCGGUGUAGCGGUGAAAUGCAUAGAUAUCGCGCAGAACUCCGAUUGCGAAGGCAGCGUACCGGCGCCAGACUGACGCUGAGGCACGAAAGCGUGGGGAUCGAACAGGAUUAGAUACCCUUGUAGUC
RNAcentral lists this ribosomal RNA (459 nucleotides) under uncultured bacterium. RNAcentral's name for it is "partial 16S ribosomal RNA". It matches the Rfam family "Bacterial small subunit ribosomal RNA", at positions 338 to 795 of the family's 1533-position model. The record is from RNAcentral.